Fukomys damarensis (Damara mole-rat) is the source of this 2462-nucleotide long non-coding RNA. RefSeq lists it as uncharacterized. The record is from RefSeq and is a predicted model, not a curated record. The transcript is spliced from 4 exons. Lineage: Eukaryota; Metazoa; Chordata; Mammalia; Rodentia; Bathyergidae.
GAAGCGGACGCCGGGCCCAAAGCUGAGCACCUGCUCCGCUCCCAGACCCCGGGCCUCCCCGUCCCACAGCCUGGGGUCCCCCGCUCCUGCCGCCUGCCCUGAUUGUCCUUCGACUUGGUCGUUCUCCUUUCUGGCUUCCUCGCCUUCCCGUCUCCCACUCCAUUCAUUCGGCCCCUGCUUUGACCUCCGUGCUCGCCCUCAGGAUUAAAAAAAGGGGUAGAAGAAAGAAAGAAAAACAAAAGCAAAGGUAUCCAGAUUGGAGCCCUGGGGAGCCAGCGAGCCUUAGGAGGGAGCGAGGGAGCGUGGAGGAGGAGGGGAGCCGCUCUGCACCGCUGCUGCCCCUGCGGGUCGCAGUUGCGGAGCCCUGGGGAGGUGGCAGCUCGCCCUGGGGCAGCCACCCUGCCCCGAGGACACCGAGCUAGCCGGCCAGGCCCUCAGCCCAGCGCACACGGCCGGCCUCCUCCAGCCCACGCUCUGCGCUAGGAAAACGGUCUGGGUCCAUUGUCCAGGUGCCAGCAGGGCCUUCGGUGAAAGGGAGGCCGGCCGGCCCUCUGAUCAAACUCAAAGGUUAGUUAAAAGAGAAAAGAGCUGAGAGUCCUCAUGAAUAAUGCCAGGCCAGCCCACCCCUCAAGGCCCCAGCCCAGUGUAGUGCGGCCUUGGACCACUUUGUUAUGCUGCUUGCCUAAGUCAGAAUUUCACAGGAAGGCCCAGAAGAAAAGCUCCCACAAUUAGGGGUCGCCUGUCAGAAAACAUUAACGCCUCCUCUCCUGGCCUGUCAGGCUGGCUGCAGAUACAAACUGGCAUGGCGAAUUGAACCUCGACGUGAAGCCUGCCAGGCCAGAGGGGCAGGGGUUUGCAAGCAAAGGAGAUGGAGCCGCCUCAGCCUCCAGGUGGUUUCUGCAGCAUCCCGAUGCUUGCGAUGCCCCCAGGUCCAGCUUCUGAAGACUCAGCUGUGGAUGCCUGGGGUGGAGUCGCGGGAGAUGGUCCUGCACACAGACCUGACAGAUCUCUCCCGCUAAAAGCAGUGGGGGAUUUUCCUGCAGGAGAAACAAUGCAUCCUUACAUGCUACUUAAUGAGCACUGUUCAAGGGCCAGGCCUCUGGUUUUGUUAAUGAUUCGAACCCCCCCACCCAGUGGCAUUUAUUAUAUUUUCCUUAGAUGAAGAAAGUGAGACUCAAGGGCCGUGGGUCUAGCCCCUGGUCACAUAGCUCAGGAGCGACACAAACAGGAUUCGAACUCAGGUUUGCCUGACCCCAAAUUCCAGCCCCCUUCCUGUCAUAAUGCUGCCUUUUGUUUCUCCAGUGAGAUCCAAAGGCCAACUGCAUGUGCUUCCUGCUGAAAGCACGGCCCUGGUCAGUGUGUGCUUUGCCACGGUCCUUGCAUUACCAAGGCUAUGUUGUCUCUCUUUCAAUAGUCUGGUCUGGACUUGACAUUCAUGUACUGAUGAGGGGAGGAGAGGAAUGAAGGCAGGAGGGGAGUUACCCGAUGCACCGCCAAGUAAGCUGGGGUGGAACCUCUGCCUCUCCUCUCCAUAAGAGGAAGUAAUGUAAGUAACGGCCUGCCAGGUUAGCGGCCAAGAUAAAAGAAGAAGACGAUGUAAAAGUGUGUAGUAGCAUGGAAUGGAGUGCAGAAAAGAUGCUCCAAAGAACUCAGUUGACAAUCAAAUGGGAAUUCAUCUUUUCAGUUUUUUUGUGUGUAAAGAAAAUAUAUUCCCUGCAUGGGAGCGCAUCUACGAGGCACAAAUGCUGUGCUGCCCAUGAGUCCUCAGGAGCUCUGGGUGCUGCUGUUCCUCAGGGCCCACGCUGCCAGGGCCCUGAGGGGCGGUCUCGUGUGUCUCAGAGCAGCUGUCUACUGGAGUGCAGAGUUUUGGAACCUCCAAGAGAUGAGUGGUCAUCUUCUGGGAGGAGCAGGAUGGUUUGGCUGUUACUUCCCUCUUUCUAGCAGAGAGCUUUACCCUCUUUGCCUUCCGGAGUGGUUCAGAAAUAUGCACUCUUCCACCGGCCUUGGGAGGAAAUUUUCAGGAAACCACUUGCAGGAGUUUAAGGAAUGAUCAUUACUCUCGCUGCACACGGUGGCACAGGAUAAAACAGAAUGACCAGAUUUCUUAGCCGUGGAAGGGGAACCAGGACAGAUCCGUCUGGCCUCUUGUUCCACGCACGGUGUCUCCGCGUCCCGAGGAGACGGAAGGGGGUGCUGAAGACGAUGGAGCACACAGGAAGUGCAUCCUCUCUCUCCAGACGGCUUCUUGUUGAGGUGGCCACGGUGACGGCCGACUGGACCCAUCUCCCCACUCUCGGGAAUGUCACCCUCCUUCACUGGGACACACAAGAUUUGCUUUUCCAGCCAUUCUUUGCCGGUCCUUGCCUUAGGACGGUAAUAGUGGUGACAGCGAAGUCUCCUUAAAACUUCACUUAGACGCCUGGCUGGAAAACGCCGCGGUGCCUGUGGUCCCGUUUCCUUCA